UGUAUAUAUUUCUCCUCGCCGAGGCCCCAAACCACAGACAUAUGGUGCUAGUUCAAUGCCCAUGUUUCUGAUGAUCCUGCUUCUUAUCACUGGCAGCCUGGUUCGUUCGGCUGCCAUCUCCGAACCUUCGAUUGCCAUCCCCGACGACGGCGGCGCCACGACGGUGUUUCCCGGGGCCAGCAUCCGCCUACUCCAUCGAUAGUUGGUUGUACCAACGACCCUUACAUUGUUACCAGUUGUGCUCCUUCACAUCGUGCUUACCAGUGCAACAGGCCACCAUGUGUCCAUAUCGUUCAUGCGAGCACCGCGGAGCAACGUUUGCCUUAAUUAUGUACUUCCUCAGUUUUAUAAUAUAAAAUAGUUUAGGUUUUGAAUAAAUUAAUGCAUGAAUUCAUGUAUGUGUUUUAAUGACAUAUACAAAUUCAUAUAAAUGUUAGUGAAUCUAGACAGGUAAGGUAAGAGAGAAGUUUAAAUGACUUAUAGUGUGUAACAAGCGUGUUGGGAGUACGUAUAGGUCCCGGUAUAUGCGAAUUUCUGUACCUUUUUAUCUUAUGUAUUUAUAUGGUCCUAUUAAGAAGUGUCUUUUGUUCGUAUGCGUCGCAGUAGUUGGCCCAUUGUAAUCGGCUAGAUGGAUCCUGUAAAUUGUUAAUGAUGUACAGUGUAUAUAUGAAGAAAAUAAGAUUAAUUUCAACUGA
Molecule: long non-coding RNA, 695 nt
Organism: Oryza sativa Japonica Group (Japanese rice)
Lineage: Eukaryota; Viridiplantae; Streptophyta; Magnoliopsida; Poales; Poaceae
Source: RefSeq, a predicted model, not a curated record